UGUUGUCAGUUGCUUUUUCUGGCAAGACUGCCCUGAAAACAGGGAGGAAGGUGGGGAUGACGUCAAAUCAGCAUGGCCCUUAUGCCUUGGGCUACACACACGCUACAAUGGGUGGUACAAUUGGUUGCAAUAGAGUAAUCUGGAGCUAAUCCUAAAAACCAUCCUCAGUUCGGAUUGCAGGCUGAAACUUGCCUGCAUGAAGUUGGAGUUGCUAGUAACCGCAGGUCAGCAUACUGCGGUGAAUACGUUCUCGGGCCUUGUACACACCGCCCGUCACGUCAUGAAAGUUGGCAAUACCUGAAGUCGGUGUGCUAACCCUUUGGGGGGCAGCCGCCGAGGGUAGGGCUAAUGAUUGGGACG
RNAcentral lists this ribosomal RNA (360 nucleotides) under marine sediment metagenome. RNAcentral describes it as "SSU rRNA". It matches the Rfam family "Bacterial small subunit ribosomal RNA", at positions 1106 to 1482 of the family's 1533-position model. The record is from RNAcentral.